Molecule: long non-coding RNA, 303 nt
Filed under: Ictidomys tridecemlineatus (thirteen-lined ground squirrel)
Lineage: Eukaryota; Metazoa; Chordata; Mammalia; Rodentia; Sciuridae
Description: lncRNA (ENSSTOG00000029296.1)
Source: RNAcentral
AACUUAUUUACCUAAUACAUCAACAAUAAUUGUCUUCUUUCUUUCUCCCCCUGCAUUUUUGGCAAGAAGAGAAUAGACGCCUUGAUGGCUCCUCUGGCAGUUCUUGAUGACCAUGGAUGAGCUGAUGGCCGUUUCCUCAAUGGUGGCUUCUUGAGGUUAUUUACAGCUGUGAUGGUGUAUAAGCCAGUGUCACUCCUGCGAGACUGUGGAAUAACUAAAGUGCAGAUACUUAUUUUUCUCAAGUGGAGGAAAAGAAAUUUGAUUGUGAAGAGAAACGCACUGCGGCAGUUGCCAAGCAAAUGA